Poecilia latipinna (sailfin molly) is the source of this 1663-nucleotide long non-coding RNA. RefSeq lists it as uncharacterized. The record is from RefSeq and is a predicted model, not a curated record. Lineage: Eukaryota; Metazoa; Chordata; Actinopteri; Cyprinodontiformes; Poeciliidae. The transcript is spliced from 3 exons.
UUGAAUAUCUGAAUUGGGAAAAUGUUUGAUACGGAAAAUUAAAAGCUAUACAAGCUAGGACGGAUAUGACAGCUGAGGCAGAAACACCGCGUGUGCACCCACGACGAACCACGUCAGUUUGUGCUGAAACCAAAGAGCAACCCUGUUGGCAGAUAAUUUGGAUCCCUGAGGGAUGAUGAUUAAAAUGUACAACCAAAAGGGACAAAUCUUCAAGAAGCUGGCCAGCUUGCACUUGACAUCCGGCUUUUUGACUGCAGGACUGCUCUUCAUGCUGAGUGAACAAACGUUUGGGCAGCUGAUGGAGGCCUGGACAUAUGUCUUGCCGGACUCUGGGUACUGACAUGGAACACAUAAAGUAUUGGUAGACCUGUCUUUAGCUUAGGAGCUCUAAUUUGUUAAAUAAAAAGUAGUAUGUUUGUAAAAUAUUCAGGGCACUCCUUCUUAAGAGAUUUUUGAUCUCUAAGUUAUUUACUACUUCUAAUAAUAAUAGUAAUAGUUAAUGGAAAAAAAAAAAAAAAAACAUUUUCAACCUGAUUAAUUUCUUGAGAUUUGGCAUCAACAUUAACUUUAGUUCUUGAUAUACAAUAAAAUAAUGUACAGAUUUGAGAAUUACCUUGAAAAUCCCCAAACCUGUUCAUUAGAGCAGGUUUAGCAAUAUAUUCAAGGUAUACAGGAUACUGCCUUUGAAUUAUUGAUGAUCUUGUAAAUUCAUAUUAUACCUGAUAAGCCAGGAAACCCAGGAAUAGAAAGUAUUUUUAUUUAAACGGCUGUUUGGAUGCAUAAAUAGUGUAUAUGUCUCAGUUGAAAAAUCUAGACAAGGAGAAACAAUGUCAUUAACAUCAAAUCUUAUAUCAAUGUUGCCAACUUUUAUGUUACAUAUACACAUUUAAAGCUGACAGCUUGUAUUUAAUUUUAGAAAGUUUAUCAGAGCCUGAGGAAAUGUUAAGUAUCUAACAAAAUCCUUUAUAAUUGACAUUUUUAAAUGUAUUUCUUUGUGUCUUAGGUGACGGAAAUAACUAAAUUGAAUCACUGAAGUGGAGGAAAAAUUAAACAAGAUUUUCAAAGGCAAAGUAUAAAGAAAAUAUUUGUAAAGGUUAGUUUGCAUAACUUCUUCAGUCCCUUGGCUUUAACUGCCUCAGUUACUGGUUACUUCCAGCUCUACAAACCAUAAAUACAGCUGCUUGUUGAAGGCUGCAGUAAUUUGUUACAGUAAAAUAAAAAAAUAGCCUUGUGAAGAACAAUGAACACAAAACAGGUCAAGAAGGAAGUUUUGAAUCAUUUUAAAACUAUGUUGAAUGUUCUCUAAAGAUCUCAGCCUCAUUCACUUUGUGUGAGAUAAUGCUUUUUUGCAAAGAAAAAUAAGAGAUUUUUCAGUCCAGCGCAGAUCCCUAACAAACUGAAGCUGUAAUUUCAGUGAAAAGUAUUUAGAGCUUUUAUGAAGUAUUGAUUUUGAAAACCAUGUAUGAUUUAUUCUUCCACUUCACUGUCAUGCACUUCUUUGUUGGCCUGUCAUGUAAAAUCCCAAUAAAAUAUAUUGAGGUUUGCAUUUGUAACAUGACAGCAGUUGAAAAUAGAUCGAUGCUUUUUCAAGGCAUUUUCCGAUUAUCACCACAUCACUCUCUUACAAGCCUUCACUGUUGCCAUGACUGGAUCAAAUUAGAAA